AACUUUCCACAACGGAUCUCUUGGCUGUCGUAUCGAUGAAGAAUGUAGGGAAAUGCCAUAGGUAAUGUGAAUUGCAGAACUCAGUGAAUCAUCGAAGCAUUGAAUGUACAUUGUGCCCUGGAGUAUUCCUCAGGGCAUGCCUGUCCGACCGUC
RNAcentral lists this ribosomal RNA (153 nucleotides) under Tuber sp. ML-2015a. Its description in RNAcentral is "5.8S ribosomal RNA". It matches the Rfam family "5.8S ribosomal RNA". Rfam says of the family: 5.8S ribosomal RNA (5.8S rRNA) is a component of the large subunit of the eukaryotic ribosome. It is transcribed by RNA polymerase I as part of the 45S precursor that also contains 18S and 28S rRNA. The record is from RNAcentral. Lineage: Eukaryota; Fungi; Ascomycota; Pezizomycetes; Pezizales; Tuberaceae.